Molecule: ribosomal RNA, 496 nt
Filed under: uncultured bacterium
Lineage: Bacteria
Description: partial 16S ribosomal RNA
Rfam family: Bacterial small subunit ribosomal RNA
Source: RNAcentral
GAUGAACGCUGGCGGCGUGCCUAAUACAUGCAAGUCGAGCGAACAGACGAUGAGCUUGCUCCUCUGACGUUAGCGGCGGACGGGUGAGUAACACGUGGAUCACCUACCUAUAAGACUGGGAUAACUUCGGGAAACCGGAUCUACUACCGGAUAAUAUAUUGUACCGCAUGGUUCAAUAGUGAAAGACGGUUUUGCUGUCACUUUUAGAUGGAUCCGCGCCGCAUUAGCUAGUUGGUAAGGUAACGGCUUACCAAGGCAACGAUGCGUAGCCGACCUGAGAGGGUGAUCGGCCAAACUGGACCUGAGACACGGUCCAGACUCCUACGGGAGGCAGCAGUAGGGAAUCUUCCGCAAUGGGCGAAAGCUUGACGGAGCAACGCCGCGUGAGUGAUGAAGGUCUUCGGAUCGUAAAACUCUGUUAUUAGGGAAGAACAAAUGUGUAAGUAACCAUGCACGUCUUGACGGUACCUAAGCAGAAAGCCACGGCUAACUACGU